GAUGAAGAACGUAGCGAAAUGCGAUAAGUAGUGUGAAUUGCAGAAUUCAGUGAAUCAUCGAAUCUUUGAACGCACAUUGCGCCCCUUGGUAUUCCAUGGGGCAUGCCUGUUCGAGCGUCAUCUGCACCCUCAAGCACUGCUUGGUGAUGGGCGUCUGUCCCGCCUCUGCGCGCGGACUCGCCCCAAAGGUAUUGGCAGCGGUCCUGUCCGCCUCUCGCGCAGCACAGAUGCGCUUCUCGAGGCUUCGGGGCCCGCGUCCAUGAAGCUCUUUUACCACGUUUGACCUCGGAUAAGGUAGGGAUACCCGCUGAACUUAAGCAUAUCAAUAAGCGGAGGA
RNAcentral lists this unclassified non-coding RNA (337 nucleotides) under soil metagenome. Its description in RNAcentral is "partial contains 5.8S ribosomal RNA, internal transcribed spacer 2, and large subunit ribosomal RNA". The stretch from base 1 to 120 matches the Rfam family "5.8S ribosomal RNA", at positions 35 to 154 of the family's 154-position model. The record is from RNAcentral.